GUAGUUUAGGGAGUUUGGAUUUGAUUCAAACAUGGAGAGUUCUAUUCCUAGCAUCUAAAGGAGUUUGAUUUAAUCUAAGACCUAUUUUCUAUUUAAGAAGAGGUGUGGAGAACAGAAACAAGUAAUCAACCCUUGGCUUAGGGGUGGAGAUCCUUUUGGUGUGUGCAUCUCCUCUCUUUUGGGCGUCACCUCUCCCUGGGCUUCUCUCUCCUCUUGGGCAUCCUCCCUCCCCUUGGCAUGAUGGCAUGUGGGCUGUUUCAAGACCUUAAAAUCAGGUCUCAAGGCUUCAUCUCUUUCCUCUUUGAAGAAGACGUUCAUCCCUCUCUUCUAUAGAGUUUGGCGUGCACGUGAUGUAGAGGAUCCGCGC
Molecule: long non-coding RNA, 367 nt
Filed under: Elaeis guineensis (African oil palm)
Lineage: Eukaryota; Viridiplantae; Streptophyta; Magnoliopsida; Arecales; Arecaceae
Description: long non-coding RNA (EGUI_LNC040892)
Source: RNAcentral